UGAUCCGUCCCGCGAUCUCAUCACGAUCCUUCCUGAUCUAGCACCGAACGGACGACACCUCCGCAUUUAGAACAUGUACGGCUCGAUGACGUCUCCUCCUUGUUGAUUCAUCAAGAGAGGAAGGAGAAGUAGAUGGAAUCUCAACCAUCACGAUGGCAUGGUGGAGAUGAUGAUGGAGCAGUGCCAACAAGGCUUCGCCAAGCGCUGUCGAAACCGAUCUCAGGAGAAAACGGAGUUGUGUCAGAGGUAGGGCUGCCUACGGGAC
This 265-nucleotide long non-coding RNA is filed under the name Hordeum vulgare. RNAcentral describes it as "long non-coding RNA (HVUL_LNC003543)". The record is from RNAcentral. Lineage: Eukaryota; Viridiplantae; Streptophyta; Magnoliopsida; Poales; Poaceae.